GGCGUAGGCGGUUCGGUCAGUCCGUUGUGAAAUCCCUGGGCUCAACCCAGGAACUGCAACGGAUACUUCCGAGCUAGAGUGCAGGAGGGGAGAGCGGAAUUCCUGGUGGAGCGGUGAAAUGCGUAGAUAUCAGGAGGAACGCCAGUGGCGAAAGCGGCUCUCUGGACUGUUACUGCCGCUGAGGCCCGAAAGCUAGGGGAGCGAACAGGAUUAGAUACCCUGGUAGUCC
This 229-nucleotide ribosomal RNA is filed under the name uncultured bacterium. RNAcentral's name for it is "partial 16S ribosomal RNA". It matches the Rfam family "Bacterial small subunit ribosomal RNA", at positions 568 to 796 of the family's 1533-position model. The record is from RNAcentral.